AAAUUGAAGAGUUUGAUCAUGGCUCAGAUUGAACGCUGGCGGCAGGCCUAACACAUGCAAGUCGAACGGUAACAGGAAGCAGCUUGCUGCUUYGCUGACGAGUGGCGGACGGGUGAGUAAUGUCUGGGAAACUGCCUGAUGGAGGGGGAUAACUACUGGAAACGGUGGCUAAUACCGCAUAACGUCGCAAGACCAAAGAGGGGGACCUUCGGGCCUCUUGCCAUCAGAUGUGCCCUCUUGCCAUCAGAUGUGC
This 253-nucleotide ribosomal RNA is filed under the name Salmonella enterica. RNAcentral describes it as "partial 16S ribosomal RNA". Lineage: Bacteria; Pseudomonadati; Pseudomonadota; Gammaproteobacteria; Enterobacterales; Enterobacteriaceae. The record is from RNAcentral.